ACGGAGGGUGCAAGCGUUAUCCGGAUUCACUGGGUUUAAAGGGUGCGUAGGUGGGCAGGUAAGUCCGUGGUGAAAUCUCUGAGCUUAACUCAGAAACUGCCGUGGAUACUAUUUGUCUUGAAUCUCCUGGAGGUAAGCGGAAUAUGUCAUGUAGCGGUGAAAUGCUUAGAUAUGACAUAGAACACCAAUUGCGAAGGCAGCUUACUACAAGAGUAUUGACACUGAGGCACGAAAGCGUGGGGAGCAAACAGGA
Molecule: ribosomal RNA, 253 nt
Filed under: uncultured prokaryote
Description: partial 16S ribosomal RNA
Rfam family: Bacterial small subunit ribosomal RNA
Source: RNAcentral